GAUGAACGCUGGCGGCGUGCCUAAUACAUGCAAGUCGAGCGAACGGACGAGAAGCUUGCUUUUCUGAUGUUAGCGGCGGACGGGUGAGUAACACGUGGAUAACCUACCUAUAAGACUGGGGUAACUUCGGGAAACCGGAGCUAAUACCGGAUAAUAUUUUGAACCGCAUGGUUCAAAAGUGAAAGACGGUCUUGCUGUCACUUAUAGAUGGAUCCGCGCUGCAUUAGCUAGUUGGUAAGGUAACGGCCUACCAAGGCGACGAUGCAUAGCCGACAUGAGAGGAUGGUCAGCCACACUGGAACGUACACACGGUCCAGACUCCUACGGGAGGCAGCAGUGGGGAAUAUUGGGUAAUGGGUGCAAGCCUGAUCCAGCCAUACCGCGUGGGUGAAGAAGGCCUUCGGGUUGUAAAGCCCUUUUGUUGGGAAAGAAAAGCAGCAGGUUAAUACCCCGCUGUUCUGACGGUACCCAAAGAAUAAGCACCGGCUAACUUCGUG
This 497-nucleotide ribosomal RNA is filed under the name uncultured bacterium. RNAcentral's name for it is "partial 16S ribosomal RNA". It matches the Rfam family "Bacterial small subunit ribosomal RNA", at positions 28 to 507 of the family's 1533-position model. The record is from RNAcentral.